UCUCCGUUGGUGAACCAGCGGAGGGAUCAUUACAGAGUUGCAAAACUCCCAAACCACUGUAAACCUUACCUAACUUGUUGCUUCGGCGGGGGCUCUCAGCCACUGCAGCCCGCCAGAAGUCUACUAAACUAUGUUAUCAUUGGCAUCUCUGAGGUAUUAUAAAAUGAAUCAAAACUUUCAACAACGGAUCUCUUGGUUCUG
This 201-nucleotide unclassified non-coding RNA is filed under the name soil metagenome. RNAcentral describes it as "partial contains small subunit ribosomal RNA, internal transcribed spacer 1, and 5.8S ribosomal RNA". The record is from RNAcentral.